UGGGGAAUAUUGCACAAUGGGGGAAACCCGUGAUGCAGCGACGCCGCGUGAAGGAAGAAGUAUCUCGGUAUGUAAACUUCUAUCAGCAGGGAAGGAUAGUGACGGUACCUGACUAAGAAGCCCCGGCUAACUACGUGCC
RNAcentral lists this ribosomal RNA (139 nucleotides) under uncultured bacterium. Its description in RNAcentral is "partial 16S ribosomal RNA". It matches the Rfam family "Bacterial small subunit ribosomal RNA", at positions 355 to 509 of the family's 1533-position model. The record is from RNAcentral.